CGGGUCGCAGCAGUGGGGAAUAUUGGGCAAUGGACGCAAGUCUGACCCAGCGACGCCGCGUGCGGGAUGAAGGCCUUCGGGUUGUAAACCGCUUUCAGCAGGGAAGAAGCGAAAGUGACGGUACCUGCAAAAGAAGCACCGGCUAACUAUGUGCCAGCAGCCGCGGUAAUACAUAGGGUGCAAGCGUUGUCCGGAAUUAUUGGGCGUAAAGAGCUCGUAGGUGGUUCGUCACGUCGGAUGUGAAAAUCUGGGGCUUAACCCCAGACCUGCAUUCGAUACGGGCGAGCUAGAGUGUGGUAGGGGAGACUGGAAUUCCUGGUGUAGCGGUGGAAUGCGCAGAUAUCAGGAGGAACACCAAUGGCGAAGGCAGGUCUCUGGGCCAUUACUGACACUGAGGAGCGAAAGCGUGGGGAGCGAACAGGAUUAGAUACCCCCGU
This 437-nucleotide ribosomal RNA is filed under the name uncultured Actinomycetales bacterium. RNAcentral's name for it is "bacterial SSU rRNA". It matches the Rfam family "Bacterial small subunit ribosomal RNA", at positions 342 to 791 of the family's 1533-position model. The record is from RNAcentral. Lineage: Bacteria; Bacillati; Actinomycetota; Actinomycetes; Actinomycetales.